This 313-nucleotide unclassified non-coding RNA is filed under the name uncultured fungus. RNAcentral's name for it is "partial contains 5.8S ribosomal RNA and internal transcribed spacer 2". The stretch from base 1 to 133 matches the Rfam family "5.8S ribosomal RNA", at positions 22 to 154 of the family's 154-position model. The record is from RNAcentral. Lineage: Eukaryota; Fungi.
UGGUUCUGGCAUCGAUGAAGAACGCAGCGAAAUGCGAUAAGUAAUGUGAAUUGCAGAAUUCAGUGAAUCAUCGAAUCUUUGAACGCACAUUGCGCCCUGUGGUAUUCCGCAGGGCAUGCCUGUUCGAGCGUCAUUACAACCCUCAAGCUCAGCUUGGUGUUGGGCCACACCGGUAACGGUCGGCCCUAAAAUCAGUGGCGGUGCUGUCAGGCCCUAAGCGUAGUAAUCUUUCUCGCUACAGGGUCCUGCUACGUGCUCGCUAGACAACCCCCAUUCUAUGGUUGACCUCGGAUCAGGUAGGGAUACCCGCUGA